RNAcentral lists this ribosomal RNA (305 nucleotides) under uncultured bacterium. RNAcentral describes it as "bacterial SSU rRNA". It matches the Rfam family "Bacterial small subunit ribosomal RNA", at positions 332 to 630 of the family's 1533-position model. The record is from RNAcentral.
CUGAUCCUACGGGGCGCAGCAGUAGGGAAUCUUCCACAAUGGGCGAAAGCCUGAUGGAGCAACGCCGCGUGGGUGAAGAAGGUCUUCGGAUCGUAAAACCCUGUUGUUAGAGAAGAAAGUGCGUGAGAGUAACUGUUCACGUUUCGGCGGUAUCUAACCAGAAAGCCAUGGCUAACUACGUGCCAGCAGCCGCGGUAAUACGUAGGUGGCAAGCGUUACCCGGAUUUAUUGGGCGUAAAGGGAACGCAGGCGGUCUUUUAAGUCUGAUGUGAAAGCCUUCGGCUUAACCGGAGUAGUGCAUUGGG